Molecule: ribosomal RNA, 17 nt
Filed under: Pythium insidiosum
Lineage: Eukaryota; Oomycota; Peronosporomycetes; Pythiales; Pythiaceae
Description: partial 28S ribosomal RNA
Source: RNAcentral
GACCUGAUAUCAGGCAA